Molecule: long non-coding RNA, 300 nt
Filed under: Mytilus galloprovincialis (Mediterranean mussel)
Lineage: Eukaryota; Metazoa; Mollusca; Bivalvia; Mytilida; Mytilidae
Source: RNAcentral
UUCAAUUGUUUCAAUUAAAAAAAAAAUCCUAUGGCUUUUCCAAGAGAGUAAUUUCCAAUCGACAGUUUCGUAAUUCAGGUCGCUAAUAGCUGACAAAAUUGUUUAUUCUCGGAUACAAGGAUUUAAAGAAAAUUUUGAUUUCUAUUCAUUUUGUUUUAUCUCACUCUUUGUUUUCAAAAGAACAUAUAAUAAGAUUAAAGACGCCGUUUGAGUAGUUUUUAGGUGAUCAUCAACGGAAGCCAUAAUCCUCACUUUAUACACACCCAAGCUCAUUAGUGUAAAUCACAAAUUAAUUGUUUG